Molecule: ribosomal RNA, 387 nt
Filed under: uncultured bacterium
Lineage: Bacteria
Description: bacterial SSU rRNA
Rfam family: Bacterial small subunit ribosomal RNA
Source: RNAcentral
UGGGGAAUCUUGCACAAUGGGCGCAAGCCUGAUGCAGCAACGCCGCGUGCGGGAAGACGGCCCUAGGGUUGUAAACCGCUUUCAGGAGGGAAGAAAAUGACGGUACCUCCAGAAGAAGGUGCGGCCAACUACGUGCCAGCAGCCGCGGUGACACGUAGGCACCAAGCGUUAUCCGGAUUUAUUGGGCGUAAAGAGCUCGUAGGCGGUUCGGUAAGUCGGGUGUGAAAUCCAAGGCUCAACCUUGGACGCCACCCGAUACUGCUGUGACUCGAGUGCAGUAGGGGAGCAGGGAAUUCCUGGUGUAGCGGUGAAAUGCGCAGAUAGUCAGGAGGAACACCAGUGGCGAAGGCGCUGCUCUGGGCUGUAACUGACGCUGAGGAGCGAAAG